Etheostoma spectabile (orangethroat darter) is the source of this 331-nucleotide long non-coding RNA. RefSeq lists it as uncharacterized. The transcript is spliced from 4 exons. Lineage: Eukaryota; Metazoa; Chordata; Actinopteri; Perciformes; Percidae. The record is from RefSeq and is a predicted model, not a curated record.
AGUUAGUGGAUCACUUCAAUCUCCCAGAUUCAGGGAGGGGAUGAAGACGCUUGGUGUUCUUGAUGCAGUAAGAAAGCACCCAGAUGCUUUCAGACCACUGUUUUGUCACAAGCCAUCCCCACACACAGCUGAUGUACUAGAACAGGUCUUUGAAAUUUGACUGUCAGCAGUGGGCAUCAACAAGAAGGGCAGAGGAAUGUGUGGUUGCAUUUUGGAGGGACUACCUGCUGGAUGUUGAGGAUAACAAGAGGGACCCUUGCAACUUUGGUAUCCUGGCCUUUGCAACGGGAACAAAUGCAAUUCCACCCAUGGGCUUCUCUCCCGAUCUUCA